Molecule: ribosomal RNA, 817 nt
Filed under: Sinopoda yanlingensis
Lineage: Eukaryota; Metazoa; Arthropoda; Arachnida; Araneae; Sparassidae
Description: SSU rRNA
Rfam family: Eukaryotic small subunit ribosomal RNA
Source: RNAcentral
UCCAUUAAUCAAGAACGAAAGUUAGAGGUUCGAAGGCGAUCAGAUACCGCCCUAGUUCUAACCAUAAACGAUGCCAGCCAGCGAUCCGGCUGUGUUCCUCAAAUGACACGCCGGGCAGCUUCCGGGAAACCAAAGCUUUUGGGUUCCGGGGGAAGUAUGGUUGCAAAGCUGAAACUUAAAGGAAUUGACGGAAGGGCACCACCAGGAAUGGAGCCUGCGGCUUAAUUUGACUCAACACGGGAAAACUUACCCGGCCCGGACACAGGAAGGAUUGACAGAUUAAGAGCUCUUUCUUGAUUCUGUGGGUGGUGGUGCAUGGCCGUUCUUAGUUGGUGGAGCGAUUUGUCUGGUUAAUUCCGAUAACGAACGAGACUCUAGCCUACUAAAUAGACGUUCCGAUCAUCUCCGUCGGACGUUCUUCUUAGAGGGACAAGCGGCGUUUAGCCGCACGAGACAGAGCAAUAACAGGUCUGUGAUGCCCUUAGAUGUCCGGGGCCGCACGCGCGCUACAUUGAAGGAAUCAGCGUGUGCUUUCCCUGUCCGACAGGACUGGGUAACCCGUUGAACCUCCUUCGUGCUGGGGAUAGGGGCUUGUAAUUGUUCCCCUUGAACGAGGAAUUCCCAGUAUGCACGAGUCAUAAGCUCGUGUAGAUUACGUCCCUGCCCUUUGUACACACCGCCCGUCGCUACUACCGAUUGAAUGAUUUAGUGAGGUCUUCGGACUGGCGCUCGGAGCGGCCCUCGGGUCGCGCCGGCGUGCCGGAAAGAUGACCAAACUUGAUCAUUUAGAGGAAGUAAAAGUCGUAACAAGGUUUCC